RNAcentral lists this ribosomal RNA (409 nucleotides) under uncultured bacterium. RNAcentral's name for it is "bacterial SSU rRNA". It matches the Rfam family "Bacterial small subunit ribosomal RNA", at positions 30 to 441 of the family's 1533-position model. The record is from RNAcentral.
AUUGAACGCUGGCGGCAGGCCUAACACAUGCAAGUCGAACGGCAGCACGGGAGCUUGCUCCUGGUGGCGAGUGGCGAACGGGUGAGUAAUGCGUCGGAACGUGCCGAGUAAUGGGGGAUAACGCAGCGAAAGUUGUGCUAAUACCGCAUACGCCCUGAGGGGGAAAGUGGGGGAUCGCAAGACCUCACGUUAUUCGAGCGGCCGACGUCUGAUUAGCUAGUUGGUGGGGUAAAGGCCUACCAAGGCGACGAUCAGUAGCGGGUCUGAGAGGAUGAUCCGCCACACUGGGACUGAGACACGGCCCAGACUCCUACGGGAGGCAGCAGUGGGGAAUUUUGGACAAUGGGGGCAACCCUGAUCCAGCCAUUCCGCGUGAGUGAAGAAGGCCUGGUUGUAAGCUCUUCUAGCU